Molecule: long non-coding RNA, 1129 nt
Organism: Syzygium oleosum
Lineage: Eukaryota; Viridiplantae; Streptophyta; Magnoliopsida; Myrtales; Myrtaceae
Exons: 2
Source: RefSeq, a predicted model, not a curated record
AUGCUUUUUGAUGAAUAUGUGACCUCUAUGUCUAGAGAUGAUCACUUUGCUUCUUCAACUAGUCGAGGUAACAUUUCAAUUGAGGACAUUGGGAACAUUGGGGACGACAUUGAUGAGUAUGAUUUAUUUGAGAGUGAACAUUUUGGAUCGCAAUCUACUAAGUCACAGUUGAAUUUGUAUUUGGAGGAGAAUAGGCUUGAUAGAAAGAAGUACGCGGAUCUCAAUGAACUUGAUUAUUGGAAGACUCAUUCUCAUCGGUAUCCCGAGUUGUCUCUCAUGGCACGCGAUAUAUUGAGCAUUCCUAUCACUACCGUUGCCUUAGAGUCAGCCUUUAGCAUUGAAGGACGCAUUUUAAAUAAAUAUUGUAGUUCCCUUUUGCUUGAAAGCGUAGAGGCCGAGUUGUGCACUAGAGAUUGGUUAUUUGGAGUUCCGCCUGAGGAAGAAUUGGAUGAGGAGUCUCUCAUCAUUGACUUUCAAGACUAUUUGCAUUAGGUUCUAGACUGGGUGUUGGGUCAUAAUGAGGAGGUACACGAAAAGCUACAAUUUUCCACAAGAUUCUUGCAUGCAAAUGGGUUCAAGAAAGGAGUUGCAUCUUGAUUUUCUCAUGGUUCCUUUUUCAUAUUCACGAUUUGUGAUUCUGAUUUCUGAAUGCUGGCAAGGGAGGUGAACUCACUCAUGAUGAGACCGCAAUCAUUGGUGGAGCUCUAGAUUUGAUUGAGUAGGUUUACUACUAAAUCUAGAAAUCUUAUUUUCUUCUUCAUGUAAAUCAUAAAUUCUUGCUUGGCUAGAUUAUUUCUUUACCUCCUCUGUUGGGUGAGAAUCUUUGUUUCUAUCCGUACUACAACACCUAACAUUGUAGACAUUGUGACACCUUUCUGAUAUUUGAUUGAUCAUUGCAAAACUUGCAUAGUCUAUCACCAUGGUGGCCAUAAUCUAGCAGUGGAUGAAGGAUUCAAGAAUGCCUUCACACCAGGAGGAGGAAGAGGUGCGGCGGGAGAACAAGUGGGUAUUUAAAUAUGUCUUUAUGUCUCCUCUUGAACCAAUAAAGAUGAUUUGUGUUUAUUUUUCUGUGUCAGUCUUUUAGUUGUCGAAAUAUCCAAUUCCCUUUCAAUGUUACUAAAAUUCAGAA